UGAAUAGUCUAUCUUAAAACUUACAGGAG
Molecule: non-coding RNA, 29 nt
Filed under: Rattus norvegicus (Norway rat)
Lineage: Eukaryota; Metazoa; Chordata; Mammalia; Rodentia; Muridae
Source: RNAcentral